RNAcentral lists this ribosomal RNA (200 nucleotides) under uncultured bacterium. RNAcentral's name for it is "partial 16S ribosomal RNA". It matches the Rfam family "Bacterial small subunit ribosomal RNA", at positions 30 to 235 of the family's 1533-position model. The record is from RNAcentral.
AUUGAACGCUGGCGGCAGGCCUAACAUAUGCAAGUCGAGCGCGAGAGUUCUUCGGAAUGAGUAAAGCGGCGGACGGGUGAGUAAUACAUGGGAAUCUGCCUGGUAGUGGGGACAACGUUUCGAAAGGAACGCUAAUACCGCAUACGCCCUACGGGGGAAAGGGGGGAUCUUCGGACCUCUCGCUAUCAGAUGAGCCCAUG